CAUAUUCAAACGUUAGUAAAUACCAUUAAAUUUUUAAAAAGCUUACAAAAAUCGUUACCUAUUAUCAGAUAGCUCUCAAAAUCGAAACCCUUAUGCCAUGAAAUUUCUUUGCAAAAACCACUCACAAUCGUUCUCACUCUCACUCUCAUGUUGUGAAACCACCUCUUGCUCUUCCUCAGUCAUCUCUUGUUCUGCCUCUCCGAUCCCUCACUCUGCCUCAUCGAUCUCACAAUUCGUAAAUCGAAACCACAAUCGCGUGAUUCCUCGUCUUUGCCACCAUCGCAGGCUCUCAUCGGAAUUUGGAACGACCUGGAGGAGAUCAGCGGUAACUUCAAGAACUCUCUAUCGCUUCUCUCAUCCAACAGAGCCGUCACGGGGAUCUCCAAACUCACCUCUCAGCUGUUGCAGCUGGAGCCCGACCACAAACGGCAAGGUGACGUCAACGGCGAUGGCGACGCGGUGCCUGGUACGACGGAGGAGGUUGUUCGUUUCGUCAAGGAAAUUUCCACGUGACCUAAUUGUUGGACUGAAUUCCCCUUGCCAUUCCAUCACGGAAAGUUCUUGCAACAUUGAGGAUCAUGUCAGAACCAGUUAAACUUCUGAUUCUGAGGCUCUACCAGGAAGUGGUGGUUCUAAUGCUAACAACUAAUGGCGUGGUUUCUUCAAGCUUCUCAAGAAAGGCUCACAGAUGCCAUUUCAACCAUUUCACCUUCUUAAAAAGAAUGUUCCUAAGUUAACUAGAAAGAAGAGUAAGAGGGUUAGAUAGGAUCUCAUUCCUUCUUUUUUUGACUCUGAGUUUGCUAACUUCAAAUUUUCAUGGAAGAAUUUCACUCUCUCUGAACUCCAGGCUGCAACUGAUGACUUCAGCCAUGAUAAUGUAAUUGGGGAGGGAGGGUAUGCAGAGGUAUACUUAGGAAAAUUUGAAGAUGGAACCUUUGUUGCCAUAAAGAAGCUGACAAGAGGGAACCAAGAAGAAAUGACUGCAGAAUUUUUGUCUAAGCUUGGAAUCAUAUGCUGCAUUUCAUCUUUGCUUAGUAAAUUCUGUCUCUCUUCCACAUUGCACAAUGCAUUGAGCAAGGUACUUCAUUAGGAUCAAAUGAUCGAACAUGUUGUGCAAGCUGGUGCAGAAUAGUUGUAAUUAUCCAAUUUUGACAGUCACUGGCAACAAGUUAAUGAUUCAAGGGUAGAGAUAUAGUCAGUGGCUCAGUUUCUGCAGCAAAAUCAGCGAAGUCAACUGAGGCUUCUCCAAGAAAUCCAGAUUUUGAAGAUCCCUGCAGGGGAGGUUAAAAGUUAGACCCUCUAUUCGACGUCCUAGUGCGGUAGACUAUAUAGUAUGCAAUUACAAAUCUAUAGCUUAUAGUUGAAACGAUGAAAUGAUAGAUUUUUUCCUGUAGUUUUCCUGAUUUUGUGUCUCUAACGAAUUUAACUGUUUCAAAAAUUGGUUUAUCCCAUAAACAGGAUCCACCACGGAUAGCAACUUUCUCUAGUUUAACUGUUGGCUUCCCAGCACCAUCUGGAACCAAAGCUAUCAUCAGUACCGCUUUUUCAUCUUUGGCACCUGAUACAAAGGAGAAGAGAACAAGGUAAGAUACUGUAGACAGAAUCUGUUCAUAGGCAUGACAUGCCCAGACAGCCCAGUGUAUGUUAGCUUUCAUACUUCUUAACCAUCUAUGGGAUCCACUGUAUCUUUCAAACUUCCUGGUAAAUAUGUUUUGAGUAAAAGCUGGGACAAACCCCAUUUUUGGAUUUAAUAUAAGAUAAGAUGGCAUAAAAACUUUGUUAUGCCUUAGUGAGUGUUACCUGAGUUGCCUGAAAUUGCAGUUUGAAUACAGCUUUUAUUUUGUUCUUCUUGCUCCAUGACCUGAACAUGAUUUUCUGAAUGAUUGAUAAAAUACUGCAAUUUGGUUUUAUGGAAGACUGACAGUGUUUAAUUCGUAAGAGUCCCAGUGACACGUCAUUGGUGAGUUGGCCAGUUGUGUUGAUUUGAAACUUGAAAGUAUGUUUCUGACAGAUUCAGUUACCAACUGGAAUGAAAUGUCGGUAUGCUCUUGUUAAAUCCCUUCCUUCUGAUUUAUUGGCUUAGUUACUAGUACAAGAUGCUAUACUGAACUUGUAUGGUUACUUCGUUAGCAAACUUAAUAGAAGUUAAUUUGAUACUAAAAACUUCUUCAGAAGGCUAAAGGGACCGAGGAAAUAAAUAAAGGAACGUUUCUGGAAUGUAUGGUUCACUUUUCUGGUUUUAACUUUUGUUUUUUACUUUAAAGAAAAUGGAAGGGGUCAUCUGAGGGAGCCAGACAAAAUAAAAUCACAAGAUUGACCCAUACAACUUUAUUUUCUUAGGUGAAUCUUUUCAAAUGCAAAAACAUAAUGAACUGUAUCUAUGUUGAUGUAAGUUCAAUUAUUUUUCCAUUGAAAUAGAUAGACCCAAAUAUUUAAUAGUAAGUAAAUACUUAAAAUAAGAAACAUAUAUAGAAUAUUUAAUAUUCUUAACAAACUUGCAGAACAAAAUGUCAAAACUAAAAGGAAAAUAGAUCUAUUUUAUAUUUUAGUAGGAGAAAAUUAAUAAAUUUGCACUAAUCUAUAUCUUAGAAAUGGAAAAUUAAUAAAUUUUCUUAUCAAUAAUGUUCUUAGAAAGGGAAUAGGAAAAUUGGGAUCACAAAAAUAACUUGCAAAUUUGAAGUUUGAAAUUCAGAAACUUUUACAUCAAAAAGCAUGUAGAACAUAGGAGUUUGUUUUUCCAAAAUUUGUUUCCCAAAUUCAUAAGAUUGUUGUUGAUUGUUUUUUGGUAGGCAUGACCGGUCCAAGACUGUAGAAAUCUUAGUAAAGAAUUUGAAAGUGUUUGCUACUUUUAAUGAAGAAUUGUUCAAGGAAAUCACACCGCUUUUGAUAUUGGAGAAUUUUAGGUAUGAGUAUAUAUAUUAGCAUCUUGUGGGUUUUGGUGUUAUCGUUAUCCAAAAAGUAAGCUUUAAUAGGAUUUCAAACAAUUUUCAGUUUUAAAAUUGUAAAUAGGCUACAUGAAUUUGUAUAUAGGACAAUUGUUUAUGCUGUUGUCUUCCUAGGAUGUGUUCUGUUCCAUAGUGCUCCAUUGGAGCAGGGACAAUUUUCACAGUUCUUGCAACAUUGAAGAUCAUGUCAGAACCAGUUAGCAUGACCCCUGAGGCUUUCUCUAUUCUUAUCCAAGUUGUGGCAUCUUUCGAUCGGCUCAAUACCUUUUUGCUUGCUGAAGAGUUAGGCAAUAAUAAAAUUGUAAGGAGUGUUAAGCAAAGUUCAGUUGGUGACAACAAUGCUGUAGAAAUUGAAGGUGAAAACUUUAUUUGAAAUUCCAGACUGCAGAGGUGAUUCCAUGAUUAUUUUUCUUCAGGUUUUAUUUCUGCCCACUAUGAGUUCUUGUUGCCUUUUUGUUUGAUGAGCAUCAGAUGAACUUGGUUGACUGGUUUAAGGGAAUGGUAACAAGUCGUGCAACGAUGAGCUAGUCAAGUAGAUAAAUAUAUUUUUCUAGGAUUAGUAUAAGGACUAAGUUUUUUAUGUACUUUGUAUCACUUUUCCUUUUCUUUUUUAUAUGGAAUGUUCAUAGAAUUUAAGUGCUAUAAGUAUUUUUUUUUCUUUUUUCAUUUUAUUUGCAUCACGAAGCAAACUUGUACAAUGAUUAUUGAUUAAUGAAAGAGGCUAUAAAAAUUUUA
Non-coding RNA from Arachis ipaensis, 3680 nucleotides. Lineage: Eukaryota; Viridiplantae; Streptophyta; Magnoliopsida; Fabales; Fabaceae. The record is from RefSeq and is a predicted model, not a curated record.